AUGGACGUGUUCCAACAGCUCUUUGAGAUGUGCGGCCGCGGCUUCUGCAAGCUCAACCAGGCGCUUCUCACUCUGCUGCCGAAGCGAGCCGACGCCCUAGAGCUGCGAGACUACCGCCCGAUAUGCCUCAUUCACAUUGUGGCCAAGGUCUUCGCCAAGGCCCUCUCGCUCCGGCUAGCUCCAAAACUUGACCACCUUGUCAGCCGCAACCAAAACGCAUUCAUCCUCGGACGGAGCCUCCACGACAACUUCAUGCUCGUCCGGCAAUCGCUCAAGCUAUUGAGCCAACUUGGAGCCCCCCGGGUCAUGCUCAAGCUUGACCUCACACGCGCAUUCGACUCCAUAUCAUGGCCAUUCCUCUCUGAGGUCCUGCGCCAAUAUGGGUUCGGUCAUCGCUUCCUUGAGUGGAUUGCCAUCCUUCUGUCCUCGGCGAGCACUCGGGUCCUGUUGAAUGGCGUACCAGGACCACCGAUUUGGCACAGAGAAGGGCUGCGGCAGGGCGACUCUCUGUCCCCGCAGCUAUUCGUACUCGCGGUUGACAUCCUCGGCCGGCUGAUUCAACGCGCCCACGACGCAGGCAUCCUCCUGCCGUUGCACCCGCGGAGGCCUAUUCCGGCGAUAUCACUAUACGCCGACGACGUCAUGCUAUUCUGCCAUGCCACGGAGAGCGAC
This 672-nucleotide ribosomal RNA is filed under the name Triticum aestivum (bread wheat). RNAcentral describes it as "partial small subunit ribosomal RNA". Lineage: Eukaryota; Viridiplantae; Streptophyta; Magnoliopsida; Poales; Poaceae. The record is from RNAcentral.